GUGAGCCGUGUGCGGGAGAACCGCACGCACGGUUCGACGGGCGGGGACUGGAAACGGAGCGCUUUGGCCAGGGACACGAAGAAGAACAGUCGAAGGGGAAACCGUUCGGCUCAUCGCGGCUUCGUGACCUACCGUCAGAAUCUGCCACCGCGCCAGCCCCCGACCCUAC
RNAcentral lists this non-coding RNA (169 nucleotides) under Rhodococcus jostii. Lineage: Bacteria; Bacillati; Actinomycetota; Actinomycetes; Mycobacteriales; Nocardiaceae. The record is from RNAcentral.